UAGGGAAUUCUCCCAACAAGUGGGACGAAAGCCUGAUGGAGCAACGCCGCGUGUGUGAUGGAAGGGUUUCGGCUCGUUAAACACUGUUGUAAGAGAAGAAUGACAUUGAGAGUAACUGUUCAAUGUGUGACGGUAUCUUACCAGAAAGGAACGGCUAAUACGUGCCAG
RNAcentral lists this ribosomal RNA (168 nucleotides) under uncultured bacterium. Its description in RNAcentral is "partial 16S rRNA". It matches the Rfam family "Bacterial small subunit ribosomal RNA", at positions 355 to 511 of the family's 1533-position model. The record is from RNAcentral.